RNAcentral lists this ribosomal RNA (468 nucleotides) under uncultured bacterium. RNAcentral's name for it is "partial 16S ribosomal RNA". The stretch from base 15 to 371 matches the Rfam family "Bacterial small subunit ribosomal RNA", at positions 42 to 397 of the family's 1533-position model. The record is from RNAcentral.
GACGAACGCUGGCGGCGUGCUUAACACAUGCAAGUCGAACGGAAAGGCCCUGCUUUUGUGGGGUGCUCGAGUGGCGAACGGGUGAGUAACACGUGAGUAACCUGCCCUUGACUUUGGGAUAACUUCAGGAAACUGGGGCUAAUACCGGAUAGGAGCUCCUGCUGCAUGGUGGGGGUUGGAAAGUUUCGGCGGUUGGGGAUGGACUCGCGGCUUAUCAGCUUGUUGGUGGGGUAGUGGCUUACCAAGGCUUUGACGGGUAGCCGGCCUGAGAGGGUGACCGGCGAAGUGGGGAAUGAGACACGGGAGGAACAGAGUCGGGAGGGAGCGGGGGGGAAUGGUGAGAAGGGGGAGGAAUCAUAAUGCAGGAACGCGGGGGGCGGGAUGGAGGGGCUAGGAUUGGAAAAAGCGUGAGACGGUCAAGAAGGGCGAGCGGCGGCAAUAGGUAAAGUAGGAACGGACACAUAGGUA